UACGGAGGGUGCGAGCGUUAAUCGGAAUUACUGGGCGUAAAGCGCGCGUAGGCGGUUUGUUAAGUCGGAUGUGAAAUCCCCGGGCUCAACCUGGGAAUGGCAUUCGAUACUGGCCGACUAGAGUACGAGAGAGGGAGGUAGAAUUCCACGUGUAGCGGUGAAAUGCGUAGAUAUGUGGAGGAAUACCGGUGGCGAAGGCGGCCUCCUGGCUCGAUACUGACGCUGAGGUGCGAAAGCGUGGGUAGCAAACAGG
RNAcentral lists this ribosomal RNA (253 nucleotides) under uncultured bacterium. RNAcentral describes it as "partial 16S ribosomal RNA". It matches the Rfam family "Bacterial small subunit ribosomal RNA", at positions 524 to 776 of the family's 1533-position model. The record is from RNAcentral.